UGAUAUUCAACAACACAUCACCUGUUCAAAUGACAAGACAAAAAAAGAAAAAAGAGAAUGAGCUGCGCUACUAAGUGAUUAUCUCCCUGUAAAUUCUUCUACUGGCAACCUGCUCGAUUGCGAAGUAUAAACUUGUCCAUCACUGUCUUCAUUUUGCUUUUUCAGUCAGACAACCAACUGUUGCAUUUAAAUGAGCAACCCAAGAUAAAGCCCACUUUCAAGGAAGACUAAAUAGAAAUUUUUUUUCUGGAAGAUCUAACAUUUCUCAUCAAUCACCUGGCAGAGGGGACCUUCUUCACUAAGAAACCAUCUCUAUUGUCUGAAGAACUGAGACAACAGAGUCACUCUCCAAGACAGCAAAACAUGCACAUUUCACUUCCUCAACACCUAUGUUCACCUUCUCCAACAGAAUAACAGCCUUCAUUUAAAUUUUA
This is a long non-coding RNA of Eptesicus fuscus (big brown bat), 434 nucleotides long. RefSeq lists it as uncharacterized. The transcript is spliced from 2 exons. NCBI's taxonomy places the organism in Eukaryota, Metazoa, Chordata, Mammalia, Chiroptera, Vespertilionidae. The record is from RefSeq and is a predicted model, not a curated record.